RNAcentral lists this non-coding RNA (30 nucleotides) under Mus musculus (house mouse). Lineage: Eukaryota; Metazoa; Chordata; Mammalia; Rodentia; Muridae. The record is from RNAcentral.
UGUCAAAAAUAUGUUUUAACUGGAAUGGUA